GUGGAUUAGAUACCCGGGUAGUCCAUGCCGUAAACGUUGGGCACUAGGUGUGGGGACCAUUCCACGGUUUCCGCGCCGCAGCUAACGCAUUAAGUGCCCCGCCUGGGGAGUACGGCCGCAAGGCUAAAACUCAAAGGAAUUGACGGGGGCCCGCACAAGCGGCGGAGCAUGCGGAUUAAUUCGAUGCAACGCGAAGAACCUUACCAAGGCUUGACAUGUUCUCGAUCGCCGUAGAGAUACGGUUUCCCCUUUGGGGCGGGUUCACAGGUGGUGCACGGCCGUCGUCAGCU
RNAcentral lists this ribosomal RNA (290 nucleotides) under uncultured bacterium. Its description in RNAcentral is "partial 16S ribosomal RNA". It matches the Rfam family "Bacterial small subunit ribosomal RNA", at positions 773 to 1060 of the family's 1533-position model. The record is from RNAcentral.